AAGGAUCAUUGAAUCUAUCACAAUCCACACCAAACGUGAACCAUUACUGUUGGCCCGAGGCCGCAAGGUCUCGCGAGUGCCGCCCGAGCCUCUGGCUUGGGUGCGUGCUCGGUCUUGGGUGUUCGGGCUUCGGCUCGGGCGCUCGGGUCGGUCUUUAUUAACCAUCAACACCAAACCUAUCCUUCUAAAGCAAAGCAUGCAAUCGGCUUAGAGCUGUUGCAUACCAACCAAGACAACUCUCAACAACGGAUAUCUUGGCUCUC
RNAcentral lists this unclassified non-coding RNA (263 nucleotides) under uncultured fungus. RNAcentral's name for it is "partial contains 18S rRNA, ITS1, 5.8S rRNA, ITS2 and 28S rRNA". The record is from RNAcentral. Lineage: Eukaryota; Fungi.